RNAcentral lists this ribosomal RNA (396 nucleotides) under uncultured bacterium. Its description in RNAcentral is "partial 16S ribosomal RNA". It matches the Rfam family "Bacterial small subunit ribosomal RNA", at positions 523 to 918 of the family's 1533-position model. The record is from RNAcentral.
AUACGUAUGGAGCAAGCGUUAUCCGGAUUUACUGGGUGUAAAGGGAGCGUAGACGGCAUAGCAAGUCUGAAGUGAAAUCCCAUGGCUUAACCAUGGAACUGCUUUGGAAACUGCCAGGCUAGAGUGCAGGAGAGGUAAGCGGAAUUCCUAGUGUAGCGGUGAAAUGCGUAGAUAUUAGGAGGAACACCAGUGGCGAAGGCGGCUUACUGGACUGUAACUGACGUUGAGGCUCGAAAGCGUGGGGAGCAAACAGGAUUAGAUACCCUGGUAGUCCACGCCGUAAACGAUGAUUACUAGGUGUUGGUUGUCAUAGACAAUCGGUGCCGCAGCAAACGCAAUAAGUAAUCCGCCUGGGGAGUACGUUCGCAAGAAUGAAACUCAAAUGAAUUGGCGGGG